CCUACGGGUGGCAGCAGUGGGGAAUAUUGCGCAAUGGGCGAAAGCCUGACGCAGCGACGCCGCGUGAGGGAUGAAGGUCUUCGGAUCGUAAACCUCUGUCAGCAGGGAAGAACGGUCACUGUGCUAAUAAGCAGUGAAUUGACGGUACCUGCAAAGGAAGCACCGGCUAACUCCGUGCCAGCAGCCGCGGUAAUAAGGAGGGUGCGAGCGUUAAUCGGAAUUACUGGGCGUAAAGCGCUCGUAGGCGGUAUGUCAAGUCAAGGGGGAAAUCCCCGCGCUCAACGUGGGAACUGCCUUUGAAACUGGUGAACUGGAGUGUGUGAGAGGAUAGUGGAAUUCCAGGUGUAGGAGUGAAAUCCGUAGAUAUCUGGAGGAACAUCAGUGGCGAAGGCGACUAUCUGGCACAUAACUGACGCUGAGGAGCGAAAGCGUGGGUAGCAAACAGGAUUAGAUACCCGAGUAGUC
This 465-nucleotide ribosomal RNA is filed under the name uncultured bacterium. Its description in RNAcentral is "partial 16S ribosomal RNA". It matches the Rfam family "Bacterial small subunit ribosomal RNA", at positions 338 to 795 of the family's 1533-position model. The record is from RNAcentral.